RNAcentral lists this ribosomal RNA (395 nucleotides) under uncultured bacterium. Its description in RNAcentral is "partial 16S ribosomal RNA". It matches the Rfam family "Bacterial small subunit ribosomal RNA", at positions 523 to 918 of the family's 1533-position model. The record is from RNAcentral.
AUACGUAGGGUGCAAGCGUUAAUCGGAAUUACUGGGCGUAAAGCGUGCGCAGGCGGUUUUGUAAGACAGUGGUGAAAUCCCCGGGCUCAACCUGGGAACUGCCAUUGUGACUGCAAGGCUGGAGUGCGGCAGAGGGGGAUGGAAUUCCGCGGGUAGCAGUGAAAUGCGUAGAUAUGCGGAGGAACACCGAUGGCGAAGGCAAUCCCCUGGGCCUGCACUGACGCUCAUGCACGAAAGCGUGGGGAGCAAACAGGAUUAGAUACCCUGGUAGUCCACGCCCUAAACGAUGUCAACUGGUUGUUGGGGAUUUAUUUUCUCAGUAACGAAGCUAACGCGUGAAGUUGACCGCCUGGGGAGUACGGCCGCAAGGUUAAAACUCAAAUGAAUUGACGGGG